AACGAACGCUGGCGGCAGGCUUAACACAUGCAAGUCGAACGGGUGUAGCAAUACAUCAGUGGCAGACGGGUGAGUAACACGUGGGAACCUUCCUAGGGGUACGGAACAACUCAGGGAAACUUGAGCUAAUACCGUAUACGUCCGUGAGGAGAAAGAUUUAUCGCCCUUAGACGGGCCCGCGUCGGAUUAGCUAGUUGGUGGGGUAACGGCCUACCAAGGCGACGAUCCGUAGCUGAUCUUAGAGGAUGAUCAGCCACACGGGGACUGAGACACGGCCCAGACUCCUACGGGAGGCAGCAGUGGGGAAUCUUGGACAAUGGGCGCAAGCUUGAUCCAGCCAUGCCGCGUGAGUGAAGAAGGUCUUCGGAUUGUAAAGCUCUUUUGCCAGGGACGAUAAUGACGGUACCUGGAGAAUAAGCCCCGGCAAACUUCGUGCCAGCAGCCGCCGUAA
RNAcentral lists this ribosomal RNA (451 nucleotides) under uncultured bacterium. RNAcentral's name for it is "partial 16S ribosomal RNA". It matches the Rfam family "Bacterial small subunit ribosomal RNA", at positions 29 to 523 of the family's 1533-position model. The record is from RNAcentral.